UGCGCAGGUGGGUUGGCAAGUUUGACGUGAAAGCCCCGGGCUUAACCCGGGAAUGGCGUUGAAAACUGCUGAUCUGGAGGAUCGGAGGGGGGACGUGGAAUUCUUGGUGUAGCAGUGAAAUGCGUAGAUAUCAAGAGGAACACCAGUGGCGAAGGCGAGUCCCUGGACGAUACCUGACACUGAGGCACGAAAGCCAAGGGAGCAAACA
Molecule: ribosomal RNA, 208 nt
Filed under: uncultured bacterium
Lineage: Bacteria
Description: partial 16S ribosomal RNA
Rfam family: Bacterial small subunit ribosomal RNA
Source: RNAcentral